Molecule: ribosomal RNA, 293 nt
Filed under: Cryptosporidium parvum
Lineage: Eukaryota; Apicomplexa; Conoidasida; Eucoccidiorida; Cryptosporidiidae
Description: partial small subunit ribosomal RNA
Rfam family: Eukaryotic small subunit ribosomal RNA
Source: RNAcentral
GUAUAUUAAAGUUGUUGCAGUUAAAAAGAUCGUAGUUGGAUUUCUGUUAAUAAUUUAUAUAAAAUAUUUUGAUGAAUAUUUAUAUAAUAUUAACAUAAUUCAUAUUACUAUAUAUUUUAGUAUAUGAAAUUUUACUUUGAGAAAAUUAGAGUGCUUAAAGCAGGCAUAUGCCUUGAAUACUCCAGCAUGGAAUAAUAUUAAAGAUUUUUAUCUUUCUUAUUGGUUCUAAGAUAAGAAUAAUGAUUAAUAGGGACAGUUGGGGGCAUUUGUAUUUAACAGUCAGAGGUGAAAUU